GAUGAACGCUGGCGGCGUGCCUAAUACAUGCAAGUCGAGCGAACGGACGAGAAGCUUGCUUUUCUGAUGUUAGCGGCGGACGGGUGAGUAACACGUGGAUAACCUACCUAUAAGACUGGUAUAACUUCGGGAAACCGGAGCUAAUACCGGAUAAUAUUUUGAACCGCAUGGUUCAAAAGUGAAAGACGGUCUUGCUGUCACUUAUAGAUGGAUCCGCGCUGCAUUAGCUAGUUGGUAAGGUAACGGCUUACCAAGGCAACGAUGCAUAGCCGACCUGAGAGGGUGAUCGGCCACACUGGAACGGAGACACGGUCCAGACUCCUAAGGGAGGCAGCAGUAGGGAAUCUUCCGCAGUGGGCGAAAGCAUGACGGAGCAACGCCGAGUGAGUGAUGAAGGUGUUCGGAUCGUAAAACUCUGUUAUUAGGGAAGAACAUAUGUGUAAGUAACUGUGCACAUCUUGACGGUAACUAAUCAGAAAGCAACGGCUAACUACGUG
This 497-nucleotide ribosomal RNA is filed under the name uncultured bacterium. Its description in RNAcentral is "partial 16S ribosomal RNA". It matches the Rfam family "Bacterial small subunit ribosomal RNA", at positions 28 to 507 of the family's 1533-position model. The record is from RNAcentral.